This 494-nucleotide ribosomal RNA is filed under the name uncultured bacterium. RNAcentral's name for it is "partial 16S ribosomal RNA". It matches the Rfam family "Bacterial small subunit ribosomal RNA", at positions 31 to 507 of the family's 1533-position model. The record is from RNAcentral.
GAACGCUGGCGGCGUGCCUAAUACCUGCAAGUCGAGCGAACGGACGAGAAGCUUGCUUCUCUGAUGUUAGCGGCGGACGGGUGAGUAACACGUGGAUAACCUACCUAUAAGACUGGGAUAACUUCGGGAAACCGGAGCUAAUACCGGAUGAUAUUUUGAACCGCAUGGUUCAAAAGUGAAAGACGGUCUUGCUGUCACUUAUAGAUGGAUCCGCGCUGCAUUAGCUAGUUGGUAAGGUAACGGCUUACCAAGGCAACGAUGCAUAGCCGACCUGAGAGGGUGAUCGGCCACACUGGAACUGAGACACGGUCCAGACUCCUACGGGAGGCAGCAGUAGGGAAUCUUCCGCAAUGGGCGAAAGCCUGACGGAGCAACGCCGCGUGAGUGAUGAAGGUCUUCGGAUCGUAAAACUCUGUUAUUAGGGAAGAACAUAUGUGUAAGUAACUGUGCACAUCUUGACGGUACCUAAUCAGAAAGCCACGGCUAACUACGUG